This 500-nucleotide ribosomal RNA is filed under the name uncultured bacterium. Its description in RNAcentral is "partial 16S ribosomal RNA". It matches the Rfam family "Bacterial small subunit ribosomal RNA", at positions 29 to 523 of the family's 1533-position model. The record is from RNAcentral.
AUUGAACGCUGGCGGCAUGCCUUACACAUGCAAGUCGAACGGCAGCACGGGAGUAAUCCUGGUGGCGAGUGGCGAACGGGUGAGUAAUAUAUCGGAACGUGCCCAGGCGUGGGGGAUAACGCAGCGAAAGCUGUGCUAAUACCGCAUACGAUCUACGGAGGAAAGCGGGGGAUCGGAAGACUGCGCGCGAUUGGAUCGGGCGAUAUCAGAUUAGGUAGUUGGUGGGGUAAAGGCCCACCAAGGCGACGAUCUGUAGCUGGUCUGAGAGGACGACCAGCAACACUGGAACUGAGACACGGUCCAGACUCCUACGGGAGGCAGCAGUGGGGAAUUUUGGACAAUGGGCGCAAGCCUGAUCCAGCAAUGCCGCGUGCAGGAUGAAGGCCUUCGGGUUGUAAACUGCUUUUGUACGGAACGAAACGGCCCUUUCUAAUACAGGGGGCUAAUGACGGUACCGUAAGAAUAAGCACCGGCUAACUACGUGCCAGCCGCCGCCGUAA